GAUUUUUUUUUUUUUUAAUUAACUCUUUGUUAGUUUAGUUUAUUUAUUGAAAAUAAUUAAAAUUAUUAACUUUAAUAAAAUGAUUAAUAAAUUUAAUAUUUUUUGACUAAAAUUAUUUUGGACCUCGGGUACCAACUAGUAAGUCCUUUGUCACUUGCGCUUGAGGCAGUUGAUAAAUUACUUGAUUUUAAAAAGUUAAAAGUUAAAGGAGUUCCUGUCCAAGAAAAAAAUUAAGAAGAUUA
RNAcentral lists this long non-coding RNA (242 nucleotides) under Ananas comosus (pineapple). Its description in RNAcentral is "long non-coding RNA (ACOM_LNC033662)". Lineage: Eukaryota; Viridiplantae; Streptophyta; Magnoliopsida; Poales; Bromeliaceae. The record is from RNAcentral.